Molecule: long non-coding RNA, 286 nt
Filed under: Zostera marina
Lineage: Eukaryota; Viridiplantae; Streptophyta; Magnoliopsida; Alismatales; Zosteraceae
Description: long non-coding RNA (ZMAR_LNC004221)
Source: RNAcentral
UGAAACAUCAAUAAACGCAGUACUAAUAACAAAUAACGACAAAACACAAAACCCGGUCUUUUAUUUUUCAAAGACUAUACAAAGAGAAGAAUGCAGAUACCCCCUCUUAGAGAAACUAGAUUUAACAGCCGUCAGUAGGGCCAGAAGACUUAGAGCCUAUUUUCAAGCCCAUUCAAUCAUCAUCCCAACAAAUUAUCCUCUCCUACAAACAUUACAUAAACCCGACUUAUGCGGAAGGUUAGCUAAAUGGGCUAUCGAGUUAAGCAGAUACGAUGUCAAAUUCGUU